GUUCCUCUGCGGCAGACGUGGUGCCCGGGAUUGCAGUCCAAGCUGCGGCCGCCCCCGGCCAGGAGCCCGCCGCUUGGACUGGGAUCGAGGGCACCACCGCUUCGGCAGAG
Molecule: microRNA precursor, 110 nt
Filed under: Ixodes scapularis (black-legged tick)
Lineage: Eukaryota; Metazoa; Arthropoda; Arachnida; Ixodida; Ixodidae
Description: microRNA isc-mir-5311 precursor
Source: miRBase by way of RNAcentral